AGGUUUCCGAAGGGUGAACCUGCG
RNAcentral lists this ribosomal RNA (24 nucleotides) under Sulcaria sulcata. RNAcentral describes it as "partial 18S ribosomal RNA". The record is from RNAcentral. Lineage: Eukaryota; Fungi; Ascomycota; Lecanoromycetes; Lecanorales; Parmeliaceae.